UAGGAGAUAGUGUAGUGGGAGCACGAAGAGUCUUGGUCUCUUAAGUAGGGGUUCGAGUCCCCUUUUUCUAA
Molecule: transfer RNA, 71 nt
Filed under: Zebrias quagga (fringefin zebra sole)
Lineage: Eukaryota; Metazoa; Chordata; Actinopteri; Pleuronectiformes; Soleidae
Description: tRNA-Gln
Rfam family: tRNA
About the family: Transfer RNA (tRNA) molecules are approximately 80 nucleotides in length. Their secondary structure includes four short double-helical elements and three loops (D, anti-codon, and T loops).
Source: RNAcentral